Molecule: ribosomal RNA, 465 nt
Filed under: uncultured Neisseriaceae bacterium
Lineage: Bacteria; Pseudomonadati; Pseudomonadota; Betaproteobacteria; Neisseriales; Neisseriaceae
Description: bacterial SSU rRNA
Rfam family: Bacterial small subunit ribosomal RNA
Source: RNAcentral
CCUACGGGUGGCAGCAGUGGGGAAUUUUGGACAAUGGGGGCAACCCUGAUCCAGCCAUGCCGCGUGUCUGAAGAAGGCCUUCGGGUUGUAAAGGACUUUUGUUAGGGAAGAAAAGGGAAGUGCUAAUACCACUUUUUGCUGACGGUACCUAAAGAAUAAGCACCGGCUAACUACGUGCCAGCAGCCGCGGUAAUACGUAGGGUGCGAGCGUUAAUCGGAAUUACUGGGCGUAAAGGGAGCGCAGACGGUUACUUAAGCAGGAUGUGAAAUCCCCGGGCUCAACCUGGGAACUGCGUUCUGAACUGGGUAGCUAGAGUAUGUCAGAGGGGGGUAGAAUUCCACGUGUAGCAGUGAAAUGCGUAGAGAUGUGGAGGAAUACCGAUGGCGAAGGCAGCCCCCUGGGAUAAUACUGACGUUCAUGCUCGAAAGCGUGGGUAGCAAACAGGAUUAGAUACCCUGGUAGUC